AGAGUUUGAUCAUGGCUCAGGAUUAACGUUGGCAGUGCGCCUAACACAUGCAAGUCGAGCGAUAUAGCGGCAGACGAGAGAGUAAUAGUAAGGAACUUACCCCCGAGUGAAGGAUAGCCAGCCGAAAGGUUGGGUAAUCCUGCAUAAUAUCGAAAGAUCAAAGCCUUCGGGCGCUUGGGGAGAGGCCUUACUCCUAUCAGCUAGUUGGUGAGGUAAAGGCUCACCAAGGCGAUGACGGGUAGCUGGUCUGAGAGGAUGAUCAGCCUCGAUGGGACUGAGACACGGCCCAUACUCCUACGGGAGGCAGCAGUUGGGGAUUUUGCACAAUGGAGGAAACUCUGAUGCAGCGACACUGCGUGAAGGAUGAAGGUUUUCGGAUCGUAAACUUCUUUUAGUGGGGAGUAAUCUUGAAAGUACCCACUGAAUAAGGACCGGCUAACUACGUG
RNAcentral lists this ribosomal RNA (446 nucleotides) under uncultured bacterium. Its description in RNAcentral is "bacterial SSU rRNA". It matches the Rfam family "Bacterial small subunit ribosomal RNA", at positions 8 to 507 of the family's 1533-position model. The record is from RNAcentral.